CCUUGCAGUGUACUUAUUACACUGUAUUGGAAUCGCUUCUUUUCUCUUUCUCUGUGAAUUUCUUGAGAGCACAGACUACAUUCUGCUUAACUUUUUAUCCCCAGCUUUCAGCACAGUGCCUGGCUGCUUUGGCGUCUCCAAGUACCUGACCUCAGCUCAACCUGUCUUGGGUUUUCUUCUCCUCCCUGACAUUGACAACCCAGCCCUCCUAGGCACAGAGAGAUGGAGCUGAGUGUGGUUUUCCUGAAAUAAAGCUUGCAUUAUGAGAGGGAAUAAACAGAAGAAAAAAAUAAACCUGCACAGUUUGCUGAUGUUACACAGUGCCUCAGCUCAGAAUGGAUUUGGGAUCAGGCAUUAUUGAGUCUUCUUGGAAUCUGCUAGUUGGAAGGGUCCUCAGAUGUACUUCCGUUUUUAACUUAGCCAUUUCAAGCUCCUACUCAGCGAAGACUCCCCCUCCAGGUGGGGGACACUGUUGGUAGCCCACUCAGCAUUUCUCCUUCUUCCUGUAACAGAGGCCUGACUUUUUCCAACCCUCCACCCUCCACUAAGCGGCCAAGUAUCAGAGGGAAAGCUUAUCCUGGGCUGAAAUAAUUUAAGGAUAAUAUGUUCCCUUUUGUCAAGAAUUGGUUUAGAAAUGGAAAUGUGACCAAGUUGUGGCUGCAGAGCCUCGGGGAGAGAUUUGCUUGUGAUUUCCAAGGAAGUCCUUCCUCCCUCCUUAGAGAGAAAGUCCAGUUGUUAUUGGCAGCCACUUUACACCUAGGAGGACAGCCAACUUCAAGAUGAAGAUGUCAGUAUAGAUUGUGGGCUGGGAUUUGAAAAUCUGAGCUGUUGCUAACAUCACUGAGGGUAACCUAAAGUCUGCUUUAUCUCUGAAAUUCUCUUUUUAUGAAUAAGUAUAUUUCCUUUUUGAAAAGA
Homo sapiens (human) is the source of this 915-nucleotide long non-coding RNA. Lineage: Eukaryota; Metazoa; Chordata; Mammalia; Primates; Hominidae. The record is from Ensembl.